RNAcentral lists this ribosomal RNA (304 nucleotides) under uncultured bacterium. Its description in RNAcentral is "partial 16S ribosomal RNA". It matches the Rfam family "Bacterial small subunit ribosomal RNA", at positions 506 to 807 of the family's 1533-position model. The record is from RNAcentral.
CAGCAGUAGCCGCGGUAAUACGUAGGUGGCAAGCGUUGUCCGGAAUUAUUGGGCGUAAAGCGCGCGCAGGUGGUUUAAUAAGUCUGAUGUGAAAGCCCACGGCUCAACCGUGGAGGGUCAUUGGAAACUGUUAAACUUGAGUGCAGGAGAGAAAAGUGGAAUUCCUAGUGUAGCGGUGAAAUGCGUAGAGAUUAGGAGGAACACCAGUGGCGAAGGCGGCUUUUUGGCCUGUAACUGACACUGAGGCGCGAAAGCGUGGGGAGCAAACAGGAUUAGAUACCCCCGUAGUCCCUGUCUCUUAUAC